Molecule: transfer RNA, 69 nt
Filed under: Palaemon sinensis
Lineage: Eukaryota; Metazoa; Arthropoda; Malacostraca; Decapoda; Palaemonidae
Description: tRNA-Lys
Source: RNAcentral
CACCAGAUGACUGAAGAGAUAAGUGCAGGUCUUUUAAUCCUGUUAUGGCGCCCCACCCGCCUCUGGUGA